Arachis ipaensis is the source of this 108-nucleotide non-coding RNA. NCBI's taxonomy places the organism in Eukaryota, Viridiplantae, Streptophyta, Magnoliopsida, Fabales, Fabaceae. The record is from RefSeq and is a predicted model, not a curated record.
CCUUCCAAAAUUAGGCCAAAAGCCCUUAGAAAUCGCGCAGCACGUGUUUCAUUAAUGAAACCACGUGCAGGGUCCUGUGCGUACGCACAGAUGGCUGAAUGGUCUUCC